UGGGGAAUAUUGCACAAUGGGGGGAAACCCUGAUGCAGCGACGCCGCGUGAGUGAAGAAGUAUUUCGGUAUGUAAAGCUCUAUCAGCAGGGAAGAAGAAAGACGGUACCUGACUAAGAAGCCCCGGCUAACUACGUGCC
This 139-nucleotide ribosomal RNA is filed under the name uncultured bacterium. Its description in RNAcentral is "partial 16S ribosomal RNA". It matches the Rfam family "Bacterial small subunit ribosomal RNA", at positions 355 to 509 of the family's 1533-position model. The record is from RNAcentral.